RNAcentral lists this ribosomal RNA (298 nucleotides) under uncultured Streptococcus sp. RNAcentral's name for it is "partial 16S ribosomal RNA". It matches the Rfam family "Bacterial small subunit ribosomal RNA", at positions 1084 to 1382 of the family's 1533-position model. The record is from RNAcentral. Lineage: Bacteria; Bacillati; Bacillota; Bacilli; Lactobacillales; Streptococcaceae.
GUCCCGCAACGAGCGCAACCCCUAUUGUUAGUUGCCAUCAUUCAGUUGGGCACUCUAGCGAGACUGCCGGUAAUAAACCGGAGGAAGGUGGGGAGUGACGUCAAAUCAUCAUGCCCCUUAUGACCUGGGCUACACACGUGCUACAAUGGUUGGUACAACGAGUUGCGAGUCGGUGACGGCGAGCUAAUCUCUUAAAGCCAAUCUCAGUUCGGAUUGUAGGCUGCAACUCGCCUACAUGAAGUCGGAAUCGCUAGUAAUCGCGGAUCAGCACGCCGCGGUGAAUACGUUCCCGGGCCUU